Molecule: ribosomal RNA, 488 nt
Filed under: uncultured bacterium
Lineage: Bacteria
Description: partial 16S ribosomal RNA
Rfam family: Bacterial small subunit ribosomal RNA
Source: RNAcentral
GACGAACGCUGGCGGCGUGCCUAACACAUGCAAGUCGAACGCGCCUGUCCUCUGGGGUGCUGGGGGGUGGGUGAGUGGCUAACGGGUGAGUCACACGUUAGUAACCUGCCCCCGUCUUCGGUAUAACGGUCUGAAAGGGCUUCUAAUACCGGGUUUUCACUGGUCUCCGCGUGGGGUCUGGGGGAAAGGUUUUUUUCUGGGUGGGGAUGUGCUCGCGGCUUAUUAGCUUGUUGGUGGGGUGAUGGCGCACCAAAGCUUUGACUGUUAGACGGCCUGAGACGAUAACCGGUCACAGAGGGACUGCGCUAAGGCCCAGACUAGGACGCGGGGCAGAAGUGGGGAAUAUGGCACAAUGGGCGAAAGAGUAAUGCAGCGGCGCGGCGUAAGGGAUGGAGGCCUUAGAGUUGUGAAGCUCGUACGGCAGUGAUCAAGCCGCAACGGGGGUCGUGGUGACGGUACCGGGUAAAGAAGCGCCGGCUAACUACGUG